GUCGAGCGGAUGAGAGGAGCUUGCUCUUCCAUUCAGCGGCGGACGGGUGAGUAAUGCCUAGGAAUCUGCCUGGUAGUGGGGGACAACGUUUCGAAAGGAACGCUAAUACCGCAUACGUCCUACGGGAGAAAGCAGGGGACCUUCGGGCCUUGCGCUAUCAGAUGAGCCUAGGUCGGAUUAGCUAGUUGGUGAGGUAAUGGCUCACCAAGGCGACGAUCCGUAACUGGUCUGAGAGGAUGAUCAGUCACACUGGAACUGAGACACGGUCCAGACUCCUACGGGAGGCAGCAGUGGGGAAUAUUGGACAAUGGGCGAAAGCCUGAUCCAGCCAUGCCGCGUGUGUGAAGAAGGUCUUCGGAUUGUAAAGCACUUUAAGUUGGGAGGAAGGGCAGUAAGCGAAUACCUUGCUGUUUUGACGUUACCGACAGAAUAAGCACCGGCUAACUCUGUGCCAGCAGCCGCGGUAAUACAGAGGGUGCAAGCGUUAAUCGGAAUUACUGGGCGUAAAGCGCGCGUAGGUGGUUUGUUAAGUUGGAUGUGAAAUCCCCGGGCUCAACCUGGGAACUGCAUCCAAAACUGGCAAGCUAGAGUAGGGCAGAGGGUGGUGGAAUUUCCUGUGUAGCGGUGAAAUGCGUAGAUAUAGGAAGGAACACCAGUGGCGAAGGCGACCACCUGGGCUCAUACUGACACUGAGG
This 695-nucleotide ribosomal RNA is filed under the name Pseudomonas sp. GICT3. RNAcentral's name for it is "bacterial SSU rRNA". It matches the Rfam family "Bacterial small subunit ribosomal RNA", at positions 61 to 751 of the family's 1533-position model. The record is from RNAcentral. Lineage: Bacteria; Pseudomonadati; Pseudomonadota; Gammaproteobacteria; Pseudomonadales; Pseudomonadaceae.